UUAGCAUGAUGCUUGAAUAGAGGAGUUUGAGCUAUAUCGAUGGACCCAUUCCGGUGCCUCUUGAUGAGAUGAAGGAGGCACAAUGAUAAUGUUCUUUUGUUUUGGCAAGUCAAGCCUAUUGUACAUGUUUUUCAGCUUAGCGAGGAAGGUUCAUGUGAGGAUAUAAGCUUUGAUGGCCAGUCUUCCAGCUUCAAUGAAUGGAUUCUUCCUACAAAAGAAU
Molecule: long non-coding RNA, 220 nt
Organism: Vigna angularis (adzuki bean)
Lineage: Eukaryota; Viridiplantae; Streptophyta; Magnoliopsida; Fabales; Fabaceae
Exons: 3
Source: RefSeq, a predicted model, not a curated record